Molecule: transfer RNA, 84 nt
Filed under: Alloiococcus otitis
Lineage: Bacteria; Bacillati; Bacillota; Bacilli; Lactobacillales; Carnobacteriaceae
Description: tRNA-Tyr(gta)
Rfam family: tRNA
About the family: Transfer RNA (tRNA) molecules are approximately 80 nucleotides in length. Their secondary structure includes four short double-helical elements and three loops (D, anti-codon, and T loops).
Source: RNAcentral
UGGAGGGAUAGCGAAGUGGCCAAACGCAGCGGACUGUAAAUCCGUUCCUUCGGGUUCGUAGGUUCAAAUCCUUCUCCCUCCAUC